GAUAUUUGGUCUCAAAUGGGAUAAGAACCCAAAACAAUUGCUUUGAGGCAGUGAAUGGCUUGUAUAAAGUUAUUUUGGGUUAGAAUAUGUUAUAAUACAAUGAAUUUGAUUGAUUACAAGUGCUAGAGAUGCAUGAAGAAUGUUUAGAAGUGAGAAGAAAGACUUGUUGAUAUUUGGUCUCAAAUGGGAUAAGAACCCAAAACAAUUGCUUUGAGGCAGUGAAUGGCUUGUAUAAAGUUAUUUUGGGUUAGAAUAUGUUAUAAUACAAUGAAUUUGAUUGAUUACAAGUGCUAGAGAUGCAUGAAGAAUGUUUCGAAAGUGAGAAGAAAGGCUUGUUGAUAUUUGGUCCCAAAUGGGAUAAGAACCCAAAACCAUUGCUUUGAGGCAGUGAAUGGCUUGUAUAAAGUUAUUUUGGGUUAGAAUAUGUUAUAAUACAAUGAAUUUGAUUGAUUACAAGUGCUAGAGAUGCAUGAAGAAUGUUUAAAACUGAGAAGAAAGGCUUGUUGAUAUUUGGUCCCAAAUGGGAUAAGAACCUAAAACCAUUGCUUUGAGGCAGUGAAUGGCUUGCAUAAAGUUAUUUUGGGUUAGAAUAUGUUAUAAUACAAUGAAUUUGAUUGAUUACAAGUGCUAGAGAUACAUGAAGAAUGUUUAGAAGUGAGAAGAAAGACUUGUUGAUAUUUGGUCACAAAUGGGAUAAGAACCUAAAACCAUUGCUUUGAGGCAGUGAAUGGCUUGUAUAAAGUUAUUUUGGGUUAGAAUAUGUUAUAAUACAAUGAAUUUGAUUGAUUACAAGUGCUAGAGAUGCAUGAAGAAUGUUUAAAUGUGAGAAGAAAGACUUGUUGAUAUUUGGUCACAAAUGGGAUAAGAACCCAAAACCAUUGCUUUGAGGCAGUGAAUGGCUUGUAUAAAGUUAUUUUGGGUUAGAAUAUGUUAUAAUACAAUGAAUUUGAUUGAUUACAAGUGCUAGAGAUGCAUGAAGAAUGUUUAAAAGUGAGAAGAAAGACUUGUUGAUAUUUGGUCACAAAUGGGAUAAGAACCUAAAACCAUUGCUUUGAGGCAGUGAAUGGCUUGUAUAAAGUUAUUUUGGGUUAGAAUAUGUUAUAAUACAAUGAAUUUGAUUGAUUACAAGUGCUAGAGAUACAUGAAGAAUGUUUAGAAGUGACAAGAAAGACUUGUCGAUAUUUGGUCCCAAAUGGGAUAAGAACUCAAAACCAUUGCUUUGAGGCAGUGAAUGUCUUGUAUAAAGUUAUUUUGGGUUAGAAUAUGUUAUAAUACAAUGAAUUUGAU
This 1287-nucleotide long non-coding RNA is filed under the name Capsella rubella. Its description in RNAcentral is "long non-coding RNA (CRUB_LNC000353)". Lineage: Eukaryota; Viridiplantae; Streptophyta; Magnoliopsida; Brassicales; Brassicaceae. The record is from RNAcentral.